Molecule: unclassified non-coding RNA, 363 nt
Filed under: uncultured bacterium
Lineage: Bacteria
Description: contains 16S-23S intergenic spacer region
Source: RNAcentral
UCCCCGUUGCCGGGGCAGUCUAGCUAGAGAAAUUCAACUAACUAUAAGGGUUGCGCUCGUUAAUGGACUUAACCAAACAUCUCACGACACGAGCUGACGACGGCCAUGCAACACCUGUCACCGGGUUCCCGAAGGCACUUUUUGCUUUCGCAAAAAUUCCCGGGAUGUCAAACCCUGGUAAGGUUCUUCGCUUACCAUCGAAUUAAACAACACGCUCCACCGCUUGUGCGGGUCCCCGUCAAUUCCUUUGUGUUUUAAGCUUGCGCUCGUACUACACAGGCGGGAUGCUUAACGCGUUAGCUUCGCUACUACUCGGGUCGAUACGAAUAACAGCUAGCAUCCAUAGUUUACGGCGUGGACUAC